AACGAACGCUGGCGGCAUGCCUAACACAUGCAAGUCGAACGAUCCCUUCGGGGAUAGUGGCGCACGGGUGCGUAACGCGUGGGAACCUACCCUUAGGUUCGGAAUCACUCAGAGAAAUUUGAGCUAAUACCGGAUAAUGUCUUCGGACCAAAGAUUUAUCGCCGUUGGAUGGGCCCGCGUUGGAUUAGCUAGUUGGUGGGGUAAAGGCCUACCAAGGCGACGAUCCAUAGCUGGUCUGAGAGGAUGACCAGCCACACUGGGACUGAGACACGGCCCAGACUCCUACGGGAGGCAGCAGUGGGGAAUAUUGGACAAGGGGCGAAAGCCUGAUCCAGCAAUGCCGCGUGAGUGAUGAAGGCCUUAGGGUUGUAAAGCUCUUUUACACGGGAUGAUAAUGACAGUACCGGGAGAAUAAGCCCCGGCUAACUCCGUG
Molecule: ribosomal RNA, 433 nt
Filed under: uncultured bacterium
Lineage: Bacteria
Description: partial 16S ribosomal RNA
Rfam family: Bacterial small subunit ribosomal RNA
Source: RNAcentral